UACGUAGGUGGCGAGCGUUGUCCGGAAUUACUGGGCGUAAAGAGUGCGUAGGCGGAUAUUUAAGUGAGAUGUGAAAUACCCGGGCUUAACCCGGGCACUGCAUUUCAAACUGGAUAUCUAGAGUGCGGGAGAGGAGAAUGGAAUUCCUAGUGUAGCGGUGAAAUGCGUAGAGAUUAGGAAGAACACCAGUGGCGAAGGCGAUUCUCUGGACCGUAACUGACGCUGAGGCACGAAAGCGUGGGUAGCAAACAGGAUUAGAUACC
RNAcentral lists this ribosomal RNA (263 nucleotides) under uncultured bacterium. RNAcentral's name for it is "partial 16S ribosomal RNA". It matches the Rfam family "Bacterial small subunit ribosomal RNA", at positions 524 to 786 of the family's 1533-position model. The record is from RNAcentral.